CGGCGUGUAGCGCAGUCAGGUAGCGCAUCCCGUUUGGGGCGGGAUGGUCGGGAGUUCGAAUCUCUCCGCGCCGACCA
Molecule: transfer RNA, 77 nt
Filed under: Gammaproteobacteria bacterium AqS3
Lineage: Bacteria; Pseudomonadati; Pseudomonadota; Gammaproteobacteria
Description: tRNA-Pro
Rfam family: tRNA
About the family: Transfer RNA (tRNA) molecules are approximately 80 nucleotides in length.
Source: RNAcentral